RNAcentral lists this ribosomal RNA (386 nucleotides) under Dipodomys agilis (agile kangaroo rat). Its description in RNAcentral is "partial 12S ribosomal RNA". It matches the Rfam family "Bacterial small subunit ribosomal RNA", at positions 796 to 1382 of the family's 1533-position model. Lineage: Eukaryota; Metazoa; Chordata; Mammalia; Rodentia; Heteromyidae. The record is from RNAcentral.
UUAGCCAUAAACAUAAAUAGUUAAUAACAUUACUAUUCGCCAGAGGACUACAAGCCAUUGCUUAAAACUCAAAGGACUUGGCGGUGCUUUAUAUCCAUCUAGAGGAGCCUGUUCCAUAAUCGAUGAUCCCCGAUCUACCUUACCACUCCUUGCUAAUUCAGCCUAUAUACCGCCAUCUUCAGCUAACCCUAAAAAGGAACUAAAGUAAGCUAAAUGAGUAACUACUAAAGAAGUUAGGUCAAGGUGUAGCCCAUGGAGUGGGGCGAAAUGGGCUACAUUUUCUACCACUAGAACAUAACGAAACCCUAUGUGAAAUCCAUAGGAUAAAGGAGGAUUUAGUAGUAAACUAAAACUAGAGUGUUUAGUUGAAUAGAGCAAUGAAGCAC